AUUAAAGGACACAUGGCACUUUGGAGCUGUAGUUUUGGGGACCUAAAACUGUCUUCAGGCCUGUGUGGGCAGUUAUACAAAUGCGGCAUACAUCUAUACAUACACAUAAAUGACAGUGAGUCAUCAAGAAGAAUAUCUGAGAAUAAACACAUGCUUAAAGUG
Molecule: long non-coding RNA, 162 nt
Organism: Mastomys coucha (southern multimammate mouse)
Lineage: Eukaryota; Metazoa; Chordata; Mammalia; Rodentia; Muridae
Exons: 2
Source: RefSeq, a predicted model, not a curated record